This 468-nucleotide ribosomal RNA is filed under the name uncultured bacterium. Its description in RNAcentral is "partial 16S ribosomal RNA". It matches the Rfam family "Bacterial small subunit ribosomal RNA", at positions 28 to 507 of the family's 1533-position model. The record is from RNAcentral.
GACGAACGCUGGCGGCGUGCUUAACACAUGCAAGUCGAACGGAAAGGCCCUGCUUUUGUGGGGUGCUCGAGUGGCGAACGGGUGAGUAACACGUGAGUAACCUGCCCUUGACUUUGGGAUAACUUCAGGAAACUGGGGCUAAUACCGGGGAGGAGCCCCUGCUGCAUGGGGGGGGUUGGAAAGUGUCGGCGGUUGGGGCUCGACUCGCGGGUUAUCCGCUGGUUUGGGGGGUUGGUGCGUACCAAGGCUUUGAGGGGUAGCCGGCCUGAGAGGGGGAACGGGGACCUGGGGACUGCGAUACGGAGCAGACUGCAACGGGAGGCAGCAGGGGGAAAUAUUGCGGAACGGGGGGACGUGUGAUGCAGCAGCGUCGCGUGCGGGAUGCCGGCUUUCGGGUUGUAAACAGCUGUCGCAUGUGACGAAGCGGGAGUGACGGUAAUGGGUAAAGAAGCAACGGCUAACUACGUG